This 463-nucleotide ribosomal RNA is filed under the name uncultured bacterium. Its description in RNAcentral is "partial 16S ribosomal RNA". It matches the Rfam family "Bacterial small subunit ribosomal RNA", at positions 28 to 507 of the family's 1533-position model. The record is from RNAcentral.
GAUGAACGCUGACAGAAUGCUUAACACAUGCAAGUCGAUGGGGAAGUGGUGCUUGCACCAUGGUAACCAUGGCGGACGGGUGAGUAACGCGUAAGGAACUUGCCUGCGGGACUGGGAUAACAGCAGGAAACUGCUGAUAAUACCGGAUAAGGUCAUUAAGCUGCAUAGCUUAGUGAUGAAAGGAGACGCCUGCGGAGAGCCUUGCGUCCUAUUAGCUAGUUGGAGGGGUAACGGCCCACCAAGGCGAAGAUAGGUAGCCGGCCUGAGAGGGUGGACGGCCACAAGGGGACUGAGAUACGGCCCUUACUCCUACGGGAGGCAGCAGUGGGGAAUAUUGGACAAUGGGGGCAACCCUGAUCCAGCAAUUCUGUGUGCACGAAGACGGUUUUCGGAUUGUAAAGUGCUUUCAGCAGGGAAGAAGGAAGUGACAGUACCUGCAGAAGAAGCGACGGCUAAAUACGUG